AGGCAACCUGCCCUCAAGUUUGGGACAACUACCGGAAACGGUAGCUAAUACCGAAUAAUUGUUUUCUUCGCCUGAAGAGAACUGGAAAGACGGAGCAAUCUGUCACUUGGGGAUGGGCCUGCGGCGCAUUAGCUAGUUGGUGAGGUAACGGCUCACCAAGGCGACGAUGCGUAGCCGACCUGAGAGGGUGAUCGGCCACACUGGGACUGAGACACGGCCCAGACUCCUACGGGAGGCAGCAGUAGGGAAUCUUCCGCAAUGGGCGAAAGCCUGACGGAGCAAUGCCGCGUGAGUGAUGAAGGUUUUCGGAUCGUAAAGCUCUGUUGCCAGGGAAGAACGCUUGGGAGAGUAACUGCUCUCAAGGUGACGGUACCUGAGAAGAAAGCCCCGGCUAACUACGUGCCAGCAGCCGCGGUAAUACGUAGGGGGCAAGCGUUGUCCGGAAUUAUUGGGCGUAAAGCGCGCGCAGGCGGUCAUUUAAGUCUGGUGUUUAAUCCCGGGGCUCAACCCCGGAUCGCACUGGAAACUGGAUGACUUGAGUGCAGAAGAGGAGAGUGGAAUUCCACGU
RNAcentral lists this ribosomal RNA (568 nucleotides) under uncultured bacterium. RNAcentral describes it as "bacterial SSU rRNA". It matches the Rfam family "Bacterial small subunit ribosomal RNA", at positions 119 to 674 of the family's 1533-position model. The record is from RNAcentral.